UACGUAGGGUGCAAGCGUUGUCCGGAAUUAUUGGGCGUAAAGAGCUUGUAGGCGGUUUGUCGCGUCUGCUGUGAAAUUUCGGGGCUCAACCCCGAACUUGCAGUGGGUACGGGCAGACUAGAGUGUGGUAGGGGAGACUGGAAUUCCUGGUGUAGCGGUGAAAUGCGCAGAUAUCAGGAGGAACACCGGUGGCGAAGGCGGCAUCCUGGACCGACAUUGACGCUGAUGAGCGAAAGCUAGGGGAGCAAACGGG
RNAcentral lists this ribosomal RNA (253 nucleotides) under uncultured bacterium. Its description in RNAcentral is "partial 16S ribosomal RNA". It matches the Rfam family "Bacterial small subunit ribosomal RNA", at positions 524 to 776 of the family's 1533-position model. The record is from RNAcentral.